GAUGAACGCUGGCGGUAUGCUUAACACAUGCAAGUCGAACGGGGUGCAUAGUCACCUAGUGGCGGACGGGUGAGUAACGCGUGAGAAUCUGGCCUCAGGUCCGGGACAACCACGGGAAACGGUGGCUAAUACCGGAUGUGCCAUAUUGGUGAAAGAUUAAUUGCCUGAGGAUGAGCUCGCGUCUGAUUAGCUAGUUGGUGGGGUAAAGGCUUACCAAGGCGACGAUCAGUAACUGGUCUGAGAGGAUGACCAGUCACACUGGGACUGAGACACGGCCCAGACUCCUACGGGAGACAGCAGUGGGGAAUUUUCCGCAAUGGGCGAAAGCCUGACGGAGCAAUACCGCGUGAGGGAGGAAGGCUCUUGGGUUGUAAACCUCUUUUCUCAGGGAAGAAGAAUGACGGUACCUGAGGAAUCAGCAUCGGCUAACUCCGUG
Molecule: ribosomal RNA, 436 nt
Filed under: uncultured bacterium
Lineage: Bacteria
Description: partial 16S ribosomal RNA
Rfam family: Bacterial small subunit ribosomal RNA
Source: RNAcentral